Numida meleagris (helmeted guineafowl) is the source of this 1193-nucleotide long non-coding RNA. RefSeq lists it as uncharacterized. The record is from RefSeq and is a predicted model, not a curated record. Lineage: Eukaryota; Metazoa; Chordata; Aves; Galliformes; Numididae. The transcript has 3 exons.
UUAAAUGUAAGCUUGUUAGAUGAUUAUUAUUUUAGUGCCUGUGACAAGAAACAUGAGGUGCAACAAGAUUUAUGUUUGAGUUUUAUUUACCUUCUAAUGAAAAUGUCCUUGUGCUAUCCUACAGAGAAAGAAAGCUGAAAUUGCUCUUUAUAUUCUCUAAAAUCAAUGCCAAAUGCUCAUCUAAGGUAGCUGAGAUUUCUGUAUCUAUGUUAUUGCUAAAUCAUCCACUUCACUGGUCUACUGUCUUAACAAAGGAUGCUGGAUCCAACCUUGAGAACCUUCCAGAUGGACUGCUGCCUUUUACUUGAAAAAGAGAGACAAAGAUGAAGUGGCUGUGAAUGUCACUGUGCCCCAUCAGUGAAGUCUGUAAAGGAGACUCAGCUCCAUGUGGUUGAAGAUGUGCAUAACCCCAUAACUGUCAGUAGGACAGUAUCCUGUUGGUGGGGAAUGGAAAAUUGGAGCCCUGGUAGAAAGAGUGGUGACUCAGGAGUGGAGGGACAAAGUGUAAGCAAGUGCUGGAAUCUCCCUGAGUUUAACUACAACUAUGAAACACUGUUUAAAAUGUGUUUUCUUUUUCUAUAGCAAGAUUAAUUGAAAAAGUUUAAGCGUUUCGAAAUCAUAUUGCUUGCCUCAGGAAUCUGAAAUAGUAAUGGUGUGUCUUUUCAUAGUUAUUUCAAAUUGCUCGUGUAUGUGUUAGCUGACAUUGGCAUAAGUAAAUUGUUUCUCUGUGGUGUUUCAUCUUCUUGGUUGUUUGGAAUUCAGCUUAAUUCUCAAUUUGUCUGCUUUAUGCAGGCAUCUGUAUCAGCAUGAAGCUAUUCACAUGCACUUCCUCCCUUUCUGUGUGACACACUUCCAUAUGUGGAUUCACAUUUAACUAAUAUACACAGAUAAUUUCUUGUACCCUGUAGCUCUAUUGACUAUACUAUUGAUCCUGUACUGUCAUUUAGAGUUAGGGUUUUUAUCUGUUCUUAUAUCCUUCUGUCAGAGAUAAUACAAUAUUAUAAGGAUGCACUGUCUGAUUUAGCAGAGAGAUUUAACAGAGCAAGGCUGUUAUGAUAUUUACAUGACCUAAUUAUUUUACUACUAUUAGUGAUUUUCUGCUAACGACUCCGUCUUGUUUUUAUCUUCACCAACUGCUUUAAUAAAGUAUUCAUUAUAUAUCGCGUUGCCACUGAACAUGGUAUUCAUAUGUC